Molecule: RNase P RNA, 249 nt
Filed under: Strombidium rassoulzadegani
Lineage: Eukaryota; Ciliophora; Spirotrichea; Strombidiidae
Description: partial Nuclear RNase P
Rfam family: Nuclear RNase P
About the family: Ribonuclease P (RNase P) is a ubiquitous endoribonuclease, found in archaea, bacteria and eukarya as well as chloroplasts and mitochondria. Its best characterised activity is the generation of mature 5'-ends of tRNAs by cleaving the 5'-leader elements of precursor-tRNAs.
Source: RNAcentral
ACGGAAACAUUGAUUUAGUUUCGCUUUGCAUAUGGGAAGGUCUGAGGCGCCUCUAUCUCAGAGAUUCACUGAAAGAGAUUUCUGGAGAAGCCAACAGAAAACAACCCUUGGAGGCCGCCGAAGAGGGAGGGGUUCGUCCUCUCCGGAGGCGCUGGACUCCAGGGGGCUGAGAGAGCUUCGCGGCGUAGAUUCUAAGUACAAUAAGCGUGACCACCGCUCGGUGGCAACUCAAUUCAGACUAUUCUUCUC